Molecule: ribosomal RNA, 775 nt
Filed under: Bacillus sp. GK2
Lineage: Bacteria; Bacillati; Bacillota; Bacilli; Caryophanales; Bacillaceae
Description: bacterial SSU rRNA
Rfam family: Bacterial small subunit ribosomal RNA
Source: RNAcentral
UCUUAUGAAGUUAGCGGCGGACGGGUGAGUAACACGUGGGUAACCUGCCCAUAAGACUGGGAUAACUCCGGGAAACCGGGGCUAAUACCGGAUAACAUUUUGAACCGCAUGGUUCGAAAUUGAAAGGCGGCUUCGGCUGUCACUUAUGGAUGGACCCGCGUCGCAUUAGCUAGUUGGUGAGGUAACGGCUCACCAAGGCAACGAUGCGUAGCCGACCUGAGAGGGUGAUCGGCCACACUGGGACUGAGACACGGCCCAGACUCCUACGGGAGGCAGCAGUAGGGAAUCUUCCGCAAUGGACGAAAGUCUGACGGAGCAACGCCGCGUGAGUGAUGAAGGCUUUCGGGUCGUAAAACUCUGUUGUUAGGGAAGAACAAGUGCUAGUUGAAUAAGCUGGCACCUUGACGGUACCUAACCAGAAAGCCACGGCUAACUACGUGCCAGCAGCCGCGGUAAUACGUAGGUGGCAAGCGUUAUCCGGAAUUAUUGGGCGUAAAGCGCGCGCAGGUGGUUUCUUAAGUCUGAUGUGAAAGCCCACGGCUCAACCGUGGAGGGUCAUUGGAAACUGGGAGACUUGAGUGCAGAAGAGGAAAGUGGAAUUCCAUGUGUAGCGGUGAAAUGCGUAGAGAUAUGGAGGAACACCAGUGGCGAAGGCGACUUUCUGGUCUGUAACUGACACUGAGGCGCGAAAGCGUGGGGGAGCAAACAGGAUUAGAUACCCUGGUAGUCCACGCCGUAAACGAUGAGUGCUAAGUGUUAGAGGGUUUCCGCCCUU